Molecule: ribosomal RNA, 295 nt
Filed under: Agrobacterium tumefaciens 5A
Lineage: Bacteria; Pseudomonadati; Pseudomonadota; Alphaproteobacteria; Hyphomicrobiales; Rhizobiaceae
Description: partial 16S ribosomal RNA
Rfam family: Bacterial small subunit ribosomal RNA
Source: RNAcentral
AGCGAGACAGCGAUGUCGAGCUAAUCUCCAAAAGCCAUCUCAGUUCGGAUUGCACUCUGCAACUCGAGUGCAUGAAGUUGGAAUCGCUAGUAAUCGCAGAUCAGCAUGCUGCGGUGAAUACGUUCCCGGGCCUUGUACACACCGCCCGUCACACCAUGGGAGUUGGUUUUACCCGAAGGUAGUGCGCUAACCGCAAGGAGGCAGCUAACCACGGUAGGGUCAGCGACUGGGGUGAAGUCGUAACAAGGUAGCCGUAGGGGAACCUGCGGCUGGAUCACCUCCUUUCUAAGGAAGC